UUUACAUCAAAUGACUACGGGCCAUAAAUUUAAUUUUGAAGAUGUAAAAAUUCUUGAUAGAGAAGAGGUUGGUUAUAGACGUAAUAUAAGCGAGAUGAUACACAUAAAAAGAAAUUAUACCGUCAAUCAUAGAGAAGAUGUGCAACACCUAAGCAUGAUCUAUAAUAAUAUACUUAGAAAGUAAUAAGUAAUGGCUGGCCUCGUCAAUAGUGUUAAGACCAUUCCUGAUCAAUAUUUUGUAACCUUAUGUUGAUGUCAUUAUCAUAAAUAUAGAAACGGAUAAAGUGAUGGGAUUGUAUGUCUGCUCUCCAGGAGAUUUUGAUUUCUUUGUUGAAUCCUAAUGUUUUUAAAAAGCGUACAAUAUUGUUCUCGUAACUAGCCUUGAAAAAGAAACGAUUUGUUUCGAAACGUCGGCAUUGUUACACAGUGAACAAUAGAUAAUAAACAGUGUCCAACACU
Long non-coding RNA from Coccinella septempunctata (seven-spotted ladybird), 459 nucleotides. RefSeq lists it as uncharacterized. The record is from RefSeq and is a predicted model, not a curated record. The transcript has 2 exons. Lineage: Eukaryota; Metazoa; Arthropoda; Insecta; Coleoptera; Coccinellidae.